CCGACCACCGCCGCCCGCACACGCUAGCAGGGUGACGUCGGUCGGCGGCGGCGCGGCCUCCCAGGAAUCCUUGUGAUAUUCUUCCUCAGCACCCACAACCCCUGUUUGUUGAAGACUUUGGCCAAAACUGCUCUCAGCUAUUGGCAUCAUUCUGAGAAAAGGACAGCUUUCAAACAUCAGGGAAACUUUCAGGAGACUUUUGGCCCCAGUGGAUCUUUUGAAGGCUUUGGCGGGUUGGAGCCUGACCUGACCAGUCUGGACAGAAUUGAUCUCCCCAGCCUCUUCUACCACGCACCCGGUAGCUAUG
Leptonychotes weddellii (Weddell seal) is the source of this 307-nucleotide non-coding RNA. Lineage: Eukaryota; Metazoa; Chordata; Mammalia; Carnivora; Phocidae. The record is from RefSeq and is a predicted model, not a curated record.